UGUAUAUAUAAUAAUAGCGCAAAAAGAAAAGUUUAUGGAGGGUCCUAGCUGUGCUUUGUAUGAAGAGUAAAGAGCCAAGUACUUCUAUUUAUAGUGGCUUUGAGGCCUGCGUGCAGCAGAACAAUAAAAAACAAAAACAAAAGAUGAGUCACUCAGGAGGAGCUAUGAAGCUGAUGAUGGUGAUGAUGGCCAUGGCACUGCUCACCACAAGCCAUGGCAUUGGCAUCCACAUCAACACCAGCGUCAUCACCGGUGGCUACUCUGCCUCCCGUUGCAACGGCCUUACCGACACGGCAUGCCGGAUUGCUCACUCGGAGUUGGACUUUGACUUGGAGUUCAUGUUGGACUCGGAAUUCAGCAUAAGGCUCCUCCAGACAAAUGACGCUCAUCUUUCUCUGGAGGCGUUAGUUCCAACGAGUGCUGUGUCCUGUGGCCGACCGGAUGAACCAGGCUGCCAUGGACCGGGAAACGGCACACCCAAGCCAGAGCACUGCAAGGAUAACCAAACCCUUAGGAAUUGCCACCGACACGGCUAAUGGCCGCUACUACAACUGGUGUCUUUUGUUUCUUUUUCUGCUUCUUAAUAUUUAGUGCCCUACUCAAUCUGCGUCAGUUUAAUUUCUGUGUACGUUUGUGUGCUUUUGAUUCUCCCUUUUCUUUUUUUCUUUUUUGGUUUUAUUAAGGAAGGGGGUUCGAACUUGGGAUGUUUUGUAUCAUUUAGAAGAACUAGUUGGUUGGUUCUUCAAAUAUUUGUGUGCUGUAAUCGUGUUAACCAAUUUCAAGUCUAUAUGAUUUACUCUUUCUUUUCAA
RNAcentral lists this long non-coding RNA (810 nucleotides) under Prunus dulcis (almond). Its description in RNAcentral is "sRNA ncRNA". Lineage: Eukaryota; Viridiplantae; Streptophyta; Magnoliopsida; Rosales; Rosaceae. The record is from RNAcentral.